RNAcentral lists this transfer RNA (75 nucleotides) under Bradyrhizobium elkanii. RNAcentral describes it as "tRNA-Glu". It matches the Rfam family "tRNA". Rfam says of the family: Transfer RNA (tRNA) molecules are approximately 80 nucleotides in length. Lineage: Bacteria; Pseudomonadati; Pseudomonadota; Alphaproteobacteria; Hyphomicrobiales; Nitrobacteraceae. The record is from RNAcentral.
GCUGCCAUCGUCUAGCGGUUAGGAUGACCGGUUCUCAGCCGGUUGACGCGGGUUCGAGUCCCGCUGGCAGUACCA